RNAcentral lists this ribosomal RNA (137 nucleotides) under uncultured eukaryote. Its description in RNAcentral is "partial 18S ribosomal RNA". It matches the Rfam family "Eukaryotic small subunit ribosomal RNA", at positions 1299 to 1458 of the family's 1831-position model. The record is from RNAcentral.
UGGUGGAGUGAUUUGUCUGCUUAAUAGCGAUAACGAACGAGACCUUAACCUGCUAAAUAGCCCGCGCCGCUCAGGCGGCACGCUGGCUUCUUAGAGGGACUAUCGGCUCAAGCCGAUGGAAGUUUGAGGCAAUAACA